RNAcentral lists this transfer RNA (71 nucleotides) under Penicillium oxalicum 114-2. Its description in RNAcentral is "tRNA-Pro (CGG) (tRNA-Pro-CGG-1-1)". It matches the Rfam family "tRNA". From Rfam's summary of the family: Transfer RNA (tRNA) molecules are approximately 80 nucleotides in length. Their secondary structure includes four short double-helical elements and three loops (D, anti-codon, and T loops). The record is from RNAcentral. RNAcentral also lists the same sequence under 1 other name. Lineage: Eukaryota; Fungi; Ascomycota; Eurotiomycetes; Eurotiales; Aspergillaceae.
GCCCGAGUGGUCUAGUGGUAGAAUACGCCCUUCGGGUGGGCGUGACCCGCGUUCGAUUCGCGGCUCGGGCC